AUUGAACGCUGGCGGCAUGCCUUACACAUGCAAGUCGAACGGUAACAGGUCUUCGGAUGCUGACGAGUGGCGAACGGGUGAGUAAUACAUCGGAACGUGCCUAGUAGUGGGGGAUAACUACUCGAAAGAGUGGCUAAUACCGCAUGAGAUCUACGGAUGAAAGCAGGGGAUCGCAAGACCUUGUGCUACUAGAGCGGCCGAUGACAGAUUAGGUAGUUGGUGGGAUAAAAGCUUACCAAGCCGACGAUCUGUAGCUUGUCUGAGAGGACGAUCAGCCAAACUGGGACUGAUACACGGCCCAGACUCCUACGGUAGGCAGCAGUGGGGAAUUUUGGACAAUGGGCGAAAGCCUGAUCCAGCAAUGCCGCGUGCAGGAUGAAGGCCUUCGGGUUGUAAACUGCUCUUGUACGGAACGAAAAGCCCCGGGUUAAUACCCUGGGGUCAUGACGGUACCGUAAGAAUAAGCGCCGGCUAACUCCGUGCCAGCAGCCGCAGUAA
This 498-nucleotide ribosomal RNA is filed under the name uncultured bacterium. RNAcentral describes it as "partial 16S ribosomal RNA". It matches the Rfam family "Bacterial small subunit ribosomal RNA", at positions 30 to 523 of the family's 1533-position model. The record is from RNAcentral.